AAAAAAUAACAUGUGUUGAAUUUUCAGUGUUAAAAAAAACAUGUGUUGAAUUUUUUGGAAAUUGUCUUUUUCUUUUAAUGCCUAAAGUCAAAUAUGUAUCACCAAUCCGUUUCACGGUCAUUUCCCGUAGAUCAGUCCAAAUUUUAAAUUACUAGUCAAAAAUUUGUUACUUUAGACAUUCAACUAUUUUAAAGACUACAAAAUGUCUGAUUACAAAAACAAAUCCAUUCACUCAUUUUAUCUUACAACAAAAUACCAAAC
Molecule: small RNA, 261 nt
Filed under: Arabidopsis thaliana (thale cress)
Lineage: Eukaryota; Viridiplantae; Streptophyta; Magnoliopsida; Brassicales; Brassicaceae
Description: ATSL247800
Source: RNAcentral